AUCAGGCACACGUGGAUCCAGUGUGGCACCUGGGUUCAGUCACGCAUGCGGCACUUUCUGCCCCGUGAGCGUGUGUGUCCGACCAGCCCGUGGGCCCCCCCAGGCCAGCGCGUCCAGACAAGUGUCCUGCGGCUGGUCACACCUGCCUCCUGCUCUCCCCGACCCGGGAGACUGGCUGGCCCUCCGAGACGGUGAAGGGCCCUAAGGCGGAUGUGAAGACCACAGCUCUAGGAAGAACUGGUGAGAACAGAUGGACGCUGCAAUGUUUUUGGCCAGAAAUGGGGAUCUCCAGGAACAGGACUGACCCAGUUUCGGUCCUCUACCCAGAGCCCGGCCCUCACGCUAGGGCUGUGGGGUGCUCACUGCACGGUGGGGGAGGACAGGUCAGCAGCCGGGACCAUGAGGUCCAUCCUGGGUCCUGCUGGGGGACCUAGGGCAGAGGUCUGCCCCAUGCAGGGAAGAGGGCAGGGAUCCGGGACCCCCAAGUCCCCCACGUCGGACAGAUUCA
Herpailurus yagouaroundi (jaguarundi) is the source of this 508-nucleotide long non-coding RNA. RefSeq lists it as uncharacterized. The transcript is spliced from 2 exons. The record is from RefSeq and is a predicted model, not a curated record. Lineage: Eukaryota; Metazoa; Chordata; Mammalia; Carnivora; Felidae.